GCUUGUAGCUGGUGCUAUUCCUACCUUUAAUUUACCCCAGAAAAGCAUACCUCUCUACAUCGACAAUUGGAGCCAGGUAACAUUGCUGGUCGUCACACUGGUCAGAGGAGUAAAUGGUAUCGUGGAUUAGAAAAGGCCUUGCCGUAACAUAAAACAGAAGUAAUCUAGUGAGAACUUUUAUGGGGUUUUUGUACCCAGAGCUGUCAUUAAGGGCCUGUAGCUUGCCUACUUCUGUCUGAACAAAGUUCAUAUAAACAAAACUGUGAAGCAAUAAACAAACCUUUUACUUCCUCUAAUCAGAACAUCAAAAUUUAAACAAAAGAUUAAAUUAUUUCAAACAGGUCAGGCUUUGAUAGGAUGUUUUGUAAUCUUAAGAACUCUGUAAAAUACCUUCCAAAAUGCAGGGAAUGUGUAAAAUACCUUCCUAAAUGCAGGGAAUGGCAUUUCCAACCCAGAUCCCUCUAGGAGUCUUGUGCCUUCAAUGUUCAAUAAUUUUUCGGCCACCUACUUGUAAACUUAAUGACAGCACUGCUUCAAAAGAGUAAUAUGCAAUAAUUUGUACAUAUGCUAUAAAAUAAUUAUUAAAACAGAUUAUAAAUGAAUAGGUGAACAAUAAGACUAGAACAAUAUAUUACCUUAGUUGAAUAAUUUGUAAAAAUUUAUACUAAUAUAUACAGUAAAUCACUAUUACACAAAAUUUUGUUUCACUUCAAAUAAACAAGACAUUGGUAGGCUCAACUUUGAGUUAUCAUGGUUUGAGAGACAACGACGGCUAGAAUCAGAGCACACUGAUGUACCGGUAGUGAAUAAGUACACUAUUCACAUCUGAAAUUGGCUGUCAUCCAGGGGCAUAGGAACCAGGGCGCCAAGGCCCCCCAAGUUCUCAGAAGAUGCAAAAAGUGUCCUUUGAGUGUGAGGCAGUUAAACAAUGAAAUGACCAGCCUGCUUGGCAUGCUUUGGGCUGGAGCACGACAAAUGGCAAAAUUUGAAACUUAACAGCCAUACAGUUUACCAAUAUUCUCAAAACACACGGACGUACUGGCAUUCUUUUGAUACUGCAAUGCUAUUAGAUUGCUCAAUAAUGUCAUUCCACAAACUUUUUGCUAAUGGAGGAGCUUGGACAUUCUUAAUAACUUUAUCAACGUGUAAAGAAGUAGGUUUGCCUUAAUUCUUGUGUGCUUUCUAAAGCACGAUUCAGCAAUUCUAGCAAUAUCAUUAAGUCAUGAAUUUG
Molecule: non-coding RNA, 1231 nt
Organism: Paramuricea clavata
Lineage: Eukaryota; Metazoa; Cnidaria; Anthozoa; Malacalcyonacea; Plexauridae
Source: the annotation of a GenBank genome assembly